This 636-nucleotide ribosomal RNA is filed under the name Salmonella enterica. RNAcentral describes it as "partial 23S ribosomal RNA". It matches the Rfam family "Bacterial large subunit ribosomal RNA", at positions 711 to 1259 of the family's 2925-position model. The record is from RNAcentral. Lineage: Bacteria; Pseudomonadati; Pseudomonadota; Gammaproteobacteria; Enterobacterales; Enterobacteriaceae.
AGACCCGAAACCCGGUGAUCUAGCCAUGGGCAGGUUGAAGGUUGGGUAACACUAACUGGAGGACCGAACCGACUAAUGUUGAAAAAUUAGCGGAUGACCUGUGGCUGGGGGUGAAAGGCCAAUCAAACCGGGAGAUAGCUGGUUCUCCCCGAAAGCUAUUUAGGUAGCGCCUCGUGAAUUCAUCUCCGGGGGUAGAGCACUGUUUCGGCUAGGGGGCCAUCCCGGCUUACCAACCCGAUGCAAACUGCGAAUACCGGAGAAUGUUAUCACGGGAGACACACGGCGGGUGCUAACGUCCGUCGUGAAGAGGGAAACAACCCAGACCGCCAGCUAAGGUCCCAAAGUCAUGGUUAAGUGGGAAACGAUGUGGGAAGGCCCAGACAGCCAGGAUGUUGGCUUAGAAGCAGCCAUCAUUUAAAGAAAGCGUAAUAGCUCACUGGUCGAGUCGGCCUGCGCGGAAGAUGUAACGGGGCUAAACCAUGCACCGAAGCUGCGGCAGCGAACGUAUCACCCAAGACAACUUUACGGAGUUGACGAUUGACGGAGCGAAGCGACGUCAAAGCGUUCAUUAAAGUCGAGUUGGCUUAGGGAUACGUUCGUUGGGUAGGGGAGCGUUCUGUAAGCCUGCGAAGGUGA